ACAAAAAAAUCUGGUGCAUAAUAUUCAUUAAUUCAUUUAUUGACAACUCAAUAACAAUUUAUGAGCUCUGUCAUGUAUUUGUCACAGCAUCAUGGAUGGAAAUAUAUAUAAAGUCUUCACCUGUGCCCUCAAGGAGUUCAGAUUCUAGUCUAUAGCCAUCUACUUACACAGAAAAAGUAUAAUAAUAGAGAUGAGAAAGUAGCACAAAAGAAGGAGCUGGUGCUCUGGGGUAGAAAGGGAAGUGUGCAGGAUCCCAACACCCAGUGAAUUAUGCCUUAUUCAACCACCUAGUGUAACUAUAAUCCAUUUCACUCAGUACUUGAAGAAUAAACAUACACUCAGCACAAUGCCAGUUUACUACUUAAUGAGAUUUUGCCCACUCCUAAGCUCCUCUGUGGAACUCCAGCUCCGUAGGGAGCUGCAAGGAGACCUACUGCUAUACCAGGUAGGCCUGUGGAAAGUAAACUAUAUAUUCACCUCUCCAUGGCCAGCAGAAAACAAUCAAAAGAAUAGCAGCUCCUGUUCCUGUUUUCCAAUCUCACUUGAAUGCAUGUAAUGUAAUUGAUGAAAACAAAUUUGUGUUUAGAAUCUUAGCUGCUAAUAUGGAUGUAUGUUUUCUAGCAUCUGCAGUAACAGGAUAUUGGAAUGAACACCUAGGUAGAAAUUUUCCAACUACCACUAGAGAAAAGAAAUCCUGAAAGAAAUGCCAUGGGAAACUCAGAGAUUUUAACCUCUUUCUUCUUCACACAUGAAUACCUCUUGCCCGCUUGCAGCACAUGGGCAGACCCUGCCCUUGGCUUUGCUGCCUCCCUGUCAGCAGCCUUCCUCCUCAGCAGUGGUGUGUGCUGGGGCAGGGGUUGAGAUGUGGAAUCGGGGAUGGAACAGACUUGAUCUCCCUCCUGUGUUCACUCUUUCUGUUAAAACUUUGUCUCAAUUUGAAAGACUUAAAACUCCCAUUACUUACUUUAUUCUCUUUCCGAUCCCAUUGUUUUGUAUGUUUAGUGUGAUCUCUGUGGGUGAGGAAUUGUCAGCAAUACAGGUAUGUAGAGAGAUGUCCUUUUGCAUUUUUAAAUGGCCUCCUUGCCAUUUUUCCAUUAAAAGGGAUUCCGCACAAAGUGUGAGAUUGCUACCAUGAAGGGGCAUCCAGUCAGGAUGGCUGGAGAGGCUGGAGAACAUGGACUGAGUGGGCUUAUGGGAAGGGACAGCACUUCAGGUAAAAGGCUUAAUACCGACUAGUUGAAUUAGUGAGUAAUAAAAUCUGGGUUUGUAUUACAAUGAGGAACUAAAAGUUUCUGUACAUUUUUUUCAGUGUUUAAUAUAUGUUAUCUUGUCUAGCUACUCCUCAGCUCCCAACAUAGUACCUAGUAUACAACUAACAUUUAAUAAAACUGAGCUAAAUAAAAUAAUAACUAUAUGAAUGAACUUUGACAACAAGAACUUAUUUGUUCUGUUUGUGGGUGGAGUAUAAAUGAGAUCUUGCCUUUGGGGUUUAAGUAUGGAAUAAUAAACUUCAUGAGUAUUAUGACUAAUUCUCUCUCUUUGUGUCUCCAAGUGCCUGCCACCCUGAAGUGAAGGUGUGUGGUAAUCACUUGUUCAGGGUUUUGCUACAAAAGAGAAAAUCAAACUGAAUACACAGAAUUCUAAGGCACUAAAGAAACGAGAAGCCAAAAUAUGGAAGAAAUCUGAGUUCCUAAAGCAUAACCUGGAGAAGGUUUAAGUCUGUUGUCUCCUUCAUCCUUGAAACUCAAAGUGUAUUCCAUGGACCAACUACAUCAACAUUGCCCAGAGCUUGUUGGAAAUGGAGAAUCUCAAGUCCCAUCCCAAUUAAUUUGUUUGCUUGUUAAUAUUUGCAAAGCACUGCUCUAAGUGACAAAGAGGA
Molecule: non-coding RNA, 1879 nt
Organism: Microcebus murinus (gray mouse lemur)
Lineage: Eukaryota; Metazoa; Chordata; Mammalia; Primates; Cheirogaleidae
Source: RefSeq, a predicted model, not a curated record